RNAcentral lists this transfer RNA (75 nucleotides) under Novacetimonas hansenii. RNAcentral describes it as "Komagataeibacter hansenii tRNA-Gln". It matches the Rfam family "tRNA". From Rfam's summary of the family: Transfer RNA (tRNA) molecules are approximately 80 nucleotides in length. RNAcentral also lists the same sequence under 162 other names. Lineage: Bacteria; Pseudomonadati; Pseudomonadota; Alphaproteobacteria; Acetobacterales; Acetobacteraceae. The record is from RNAcentral.
UGGGGCGUAGCCAAGCGGUAAGGCAGCGGAUUUUGAUUCCGCCAUGCGGAGGUUCGAAUCCUCCCGCCCCAGCCA